RNAcentral lists this long non-coding RNA (5037 nucleotides) under Glycine max (soybean). RNAcentral's name for it is "long non-coding RNA (GMAX_LNC004617)". The record is from RNAcentral. Lineage: Eukaryota; Viridiplantae; Streptophyta; Magnoliopsida; Fabales; Fabaceae.
UAUGAUGAGGACGCUGAGGCAGCAGACACCGUAACCAUGGAAGCUACUACAGGAAGACCACGAAGAGAAGUAUCAAAACCUAGAUACUUAGUAGACUACGUGUAAGCAAUAGAACAUGGCUGUUAGUUAGUUACAAGGCCGUUAAGUUCGUUGUAACCACUUGUAAGUAGUUACGUACAGAUGCACGCAUGAACACAGUGUAUAAAGAGAACCUUCCGUGAAUGAAUAAAGGCGCGCAGAAUUUACCCUUUUGAGUAGACUUGAUCCUUAGGAGGGACCUUGACCUCGAAACAAGGCUUACACUCCCCUUCCCUAUUCACUCCAUAACACUGGUCCGACCUGCCGUCCUCCAUGGCAGAGCAUGGAACUCGUCGAACCACCACAGAUCGCCUCGAGGAGGCCAUAGCCACCCUCACUGAAAAACAUUCCGACUUAGCCAACAAGUUCGAAGCCAUCUGCGAACGCCUCUCCCAUAUGUCUUCUUCCGCCCCUACACCCCCUUCCAUGCCGCGGCCACCGGUCAAACUUGACGUUCCAAGGUUUGACGGUCACGAUCCACUUGGGUGGAUCUUCAAAAUCUCACAGUUUUUCGAUUAUCAGGGUACUCCGGAAGAAGAUCGUAUCAUGGUAGCUUCAUUUUACUUGGAUGGCGCAGCAUUAAGCUGGUUUCAGUGGAUGUUCCGGAAUGGGUUCAUCACCUCUUGGACAGCUCUUCUCCAAGCCAUCGAAUCCCGUUUUGCUCCUUCAGUCUACGACGACCCCCGUGGUGCCCUAUUCAAGUUGACUCAACGCUCCACUGUUACAGAAUACCUCACAGAAUUUGAGAAACUCGCGAAUCGCAUCACCGGUUUGUCGCCAUCAGUGCUUCUCAGCUGUUUCAUCUCCGGCCUUAGCCCGGAGAUACGCCGUGAGGUACAAGCAUUUCAACCCUCUUCACUCCCCAAAGCCACGGCUCUCGCUCGCUUGCAAGAAGAUAAGAUCAAUGAUAGACGCAAGCACACCCGCAUCCCCUUCAACCAUUCUCCCACAAACACUACCCCCUCUAACCCUCAGUCGUCACAACAGCCACGGCCAAAAGCCCCGUUUGUUCAGCGAACCCAAGAAGACAUGGCUUAUAGACGAGAGAAGGGACUCUGCUAUAAUUGUGAUGAAAAGUGGAACUCCUCACACCGGUGUAAGGGACGAGUUCUUUUCUUCAUUGCCAACUCCGAUGAAACCUCCUCACCGGAAUCCAGUCCUUCGGACCCCUCGUCUCCAUUAAAGUCCGAACACGACCACACGUUACUCGAAGCUACUCAAGCCUUUGAUCUUACUCCUCUACAACCGCACAUUAGUCUCCACGCCAUGGCCGGUGUUCCUGCUACGGACACUUUCAGACUAUACGGUCUCAUCAACAAAACUCGUGUUACCAUUCUCGUAGAUAGCGGCAGCACUCACAACUUCGUUCAACCUCGAGUUGCGAAGUUCCUCAAUCUUCCCUUACACGACACACAGCCCCUCAGGGUUAUGGUAGGCAAUGGUUCGGUAUUGGAUUGCCAGCAGAUGAUUCCGGACACCACAAUACUCAUUCAAGAGCACCGCUUCGUGGUCACGUUGCGUCUUUUGCCAUUAAGCGGUGCCGAUGUCGUUUUGGGGGUCGAGUGGUUGCGAACGUUGGGCCCGGUAAUUACGGAUUACACCGAUUUUACUAUGAAAUUCACCCUUUUUGGCAGGCCCAUUCACCUUCGUGCAGACGUACAAGUGAACACUAGCCCAGUUUCGGCCCAUCAGGUGAGACGCCUCAUCUCUACCAAAUCCACUUCGGGCCUCUUUCACCUAUCAUUACAACCCAUUCCUUCAUCCGAAAUGCUAAACACCACCCCUCACCCCGUCCCCGCCAUUGAUAAACUUUUGAACAAAUAUCAGUCCCUAUUCGAAGCACCCACAGGCCUUCCCCCACCACGACAACAUGACCACCAAAUAAACUUACUUCCAUCAGCUCACCCCAUUAACGUCAGACCAUAUCGGUACCCCUACUCCCAAAAGACUGAAAUAGAAAAACAAGUUUCCGCCCUUCUCGACUCCGGUUUAAUCCAACCCAGUAGAAGCCCAUUUUCUUCUCCAGUGUUACUGGUAAAGAAGAAAGACGGGACAUGGCGCAUGUGUGUAGAUUACAGAGCUUUAAACUCCAUCACGGUUCGCGACAGGUUCCCAUUACCUACCAUCGACGAACUCUUAGACGAGUUAGGCCAAGCCUCGUGGUUCUCCAAGCUAGAUUUGAGACAAGGGUUUCAUCAGAUCUUGAUGGCAGAAGCCGACGUCCCAAAGACAGCUUUUCGGACCCAUGAAGGGCACUAUGAAUAUCGGGUCAUGCCAUUCGGGUUGUGUAACGCCCCAUCAACCUUUCAGGCUGCCAUGAAUACCUUGCUCCGACCAUUUUUACGAAAGUUCACGGCGGUAUUUUUUGACGACAUACUCAUUUACAGUGCCUCCCUCCAGGACCACCUUCAGCAUUUGGAGUGCGUCUUUCGUUCCCUCUCCCAAGCCAAGUACUUUCUUAAAAGAUCCAAGUGCUUGUUUGGACAGCGUCAGCUUGAUUAUCUAGGCCACGUGAUCUCCGGCACGGGAGUACAACCAGAUCCCUCAAAAGUACAGGUCAUCCUUGAUUGGCCCCGGCCGUCCUCUCCAAGAGACCUCCGUGCAUUUCUAGGCCUUACCGGGUUCUACCGGAAAUUUGUGCGAAGCUACGCGUCCAUUGCGGCACCGUUAACCCAGCUCCUUUGCAAGGACGCCUUUUAUUGGAACGAGGAGUCUCAAAAGGCCUUUCACGAUCUCAAGUUAGCUCUGACAGCCGCGCCGGUGCUUGCCCUUCCGGAUUUCUCCCUACCAUUUUCGCUAGAGACAGAUGCAUCGAGCUAUGCUAUGGGUGCAGUCCUUCAUCAACGAGGACAUCCCAUAGCGUUCUUCAGCAAACCUCUGGGGCCACGACUUCAACACGCCUCCGCAUAUGUCCGAGAGUUGCAUGCUAUCGUCGCCGCCGUCCGCAAGUGGAGACAGUACUUGCUAGGUCAUCGGUUCAUCAUUUACACCGAUCAUCGUAGUAUACGAGAACUAAUAUCUCAGACGAUCCAAACUCCGGAGCAACAGUUUUAUCUCACUAAGCUACUUGGAUUUGACUAUGAUAUUCAAUACAAAGCUGGAAAUUCGAACGUAGUAGCUGAUUCUCUUUCCCGUAUAAGUAACUCCGCUCAAGGGCAAUGUCUCAUUCUUUCGGUUCCACACCCUGAGUUUCUACAACAACUCAAACAGUCGUUACUUGCGAACCCAGAUUUCCGGCGCCAUCGCGAAGCAAUCCAAGCGACACCCACCGAUCACCCCGACUUCUCUAUAUCGGGUGACUUCGUCCUAUUCAAGGGGGCCAUUUGGAUUAACGAGCAGAAUCCCUUCAUUCCGGCGUUACUCCAUGAAUAUCAUGCUUCCCCUCUCGCGGGCCAUUUCGGUGUUAAAAAAACACUUCAUCGUCUUCGUCCAAAAUUUCAGUGGACCAAUAUGCUCCGUGAUAUCAAAACCUUCGUCCGCAACUGUCACACUUGUCAACAAGUGAAACCCGUCACACGCAAGAGUGCUGGUCUAUUACACCCCAUCCCAAUCCCUUCAACUAUCUGGGAGGACCUCUCUAUGGAUUUCGUGACCCACCUUCCAAGCUCCAAUGGAUUCACGACUAUCCUUGUCGUCGUUGACAGGUUCUCCAAGGGGGUACACUUGGGAGCCUUACCCGCCCAUUACACAGCUUUUAAGGUCGCCAACCUCUUCCUUAACAUCGUAUGCAAACUACACGGGUUUCCCCGGAGCAUUAUUUCCGACCGAGACCCCAUUUUUAUUAGCUCCUUUUGGAGAGAACUUUUCCGGCUCAGUGGGACGACGUUACGCAUGAGUACGGCGUAUCAUCCCCAGUCCGAUGGGCAAACCGAAGUGAUGAACCGUACGAUUGAGCAAUAUCUUCGUUCCUUCGUUCACCACAACCCGGCAAACUGGUUUAAAUUCUUAGCCCUAGCUGAAUGGUCUUACAACACGUCUCAGCACUCCGGCACCGACUUCACUCCUUACGAGGUCACUUAUGGUAAGCCUCCUCCGGCCAUCUCCAAUUACAUCAAGGGGUCAUCACGCAAUGAUGCUGUCGAUACCAUGCUAGCCACGCGAGACGCCAUUCACGCCACGCUUCGUCGGAAGCUAUUAAAGGCUCAAGAGAAUAUGAAGCUUUUCGCGGAUAAAAGCCGCCGUGAUGUUCAGUAUGAAGUGGGCCAACUGGUCUAUGUUCGCCUUCGUCCUCAUCGUCAGCACUCCUUACGAGAUCAAACCUCCAGCAAGCUCACCAAACGCUAUUUCGGCCCGUUCCCCAUACUUGAACGAAUUGGUACGGUGGCAUAUCGGUUGCAACUCCCCGAGGCUUCUAAGAUCCAUCCCGUCUUCCACUGUUCCAUGUUACGCCCUCACCACGGUCCCUUAGACCUUCCAGUUUCCACUCUUCCACCGGACGCGGUUCAGAACCAACCCAUCAUGAAGCCAUUGACCAUUCUUGACUCACGCAUGGAUUCCUCUACCCAACCUCCAACUCGUCUCGUCUUGGUGCAGUGGGAGGGUCUCACACCCGAAGAUUCUUCUUGGGAAGUAUGGGACGACAUUCGCCGGUCUCAUCACCUUGCGGACAAGGUGAUCUUUGCAGGUCGGGGUAAUGAUGAGGACGCUGAGGCAGCAGACACCGUAACCAUGGAAGCUACUACAGGAAGACCACGAAGAGAAGUAUCAAAACCUAGAUACUUAGUAGACUACGUGUAAGCAAUAGAACAUGGCUGUUAGUUAGUUACAAGGCCGUUAAGUUCGUUGUAACCACUUGUAAGUAGUUACGUACAGAUGCACGCAUGAACACAGUGUAUAAAGAGAACCUUCCGUGAAUGAAUAAAGGCGCGCAGAAUUUACCCUUUUGAGUAGACUUGAUCCUUAGGAGGGACCUUGACCUCGAAACAAGGCUUACACUCCCCUUCCCUAUUCACUCCAUAA